GCUCCAGUGUGCAUUCUGACAUAACAGUUACACUGGGGUCCCCUUUAGUCUCAUGCCCCACCGCCCAUGCCAGCACUGGCAGGGGAAGAGGCUCAGCUGGACACCUCUCUGAGUUCCUCUGAGAAUCACCCUCGGCUGAAGAGCACACACUUGCCAAGGUGGACACCGGAUCACUAGGUCAAUGUGACCCUUUGGCGAGAGAUCAGUGCGGAACUGUGCCAACUUUCAAGGCAGGUUUGAGAAUUCCAAAGGAAGCUGUGAUUGCGUAGGGAGGCCGGGAUGAUAGGCUCUUUACCCUGGCUUUUGACGCGGUUGAGAGGUGCAGGGAAAGGCUGGGCGCUGGUCAGGCUCGGUGAGGAGGGGAAGGCCCAGGCUGCCUUGUGGGCAGUAGGAUUCCCUGCAGCUGCAGGACAGAAGAGGCCAGGAGCAGGAGCAGGACUUUGGUAUAAAAGCAACAGAGUUCCAAAGAAGGGGGAUCCCCUUCCCAUCGGGCCGCUGCCCUUCCCCGAGGACCACUCCAGCUCGCCGAGGAACCAUUCUCAUUUCCUCUGCUGAGCUCGAAACCGGCCACUGGGGUCAAGUGACCAAGACCCAGCAGGAGAAGUGCUGGGCUGCUGAGAGCCAGGAGCGGCCCAGCGCAGGAAGCAAGAAGCAGGCCGAGGAGCUGGGGCUCUGCGGGGCUGGCGUGAGAAGCUGGGAACAGAUUCUGAGCACCUUCUGAACCUGGAGCCUCACCUUCCAGCUGACAACCCAGUCUUUGGAGGUAACAUUUCAUUAUGAAACUGAAGCAAAGUUCAAUGUUAACAGAGCUGUCUUAUCCGAAAUAAUGCUUGAGUGUCGCUGCUCUUCAGCAGAGAGAACGGAGAGGAGGCCGCCCCAGCUCCUUCACACACUCUGCUGAGUCCCCACGGCAGGCAGGGGCGAGACUGCAAUGGAUGACAGGACGACAAAGAAGAUGCAGGGAUAAGGGAUCUACGCAAACCCAAUUUUGCUCUCUUGAGGAAUUAUUCUGACCAGAAAGGGUGACAGGGCGGUUAAGAGGCAGCAAGGCCCCUGACCGCAGAAGCGAAGCUGAGAGAACCCAGGGUCCCCUUUCGGAGCUGAAGAUUCUUGACCCAAGCAAGGCAGGUGGCCCUGCGAACCAAAAAUCUCACAGCUAAGUCUCACGUGGCCUUCCUCCCACCCAAGGGCGGCAGCUGAUGGCCACCGACUGCACAUGCGCGGGAUCGGGGCGCACGCGCGGCGCCCACUUCCGGGAGCUCUUCCGGCAAGAUCGGUGCGCACGAGGGCAGAGCCGGAAGUGGCGCUCGGAAUGGACGACUGAGGGUGACUAGGGAGGACAGAGGUGGCCGCUGGGAGACAUGUGGACCACCGCUCAAACUGGCCCCUAUCAGCACUCUGUAUAGGUGGUAGUGCACUUAAUAAUUUACAGUACCAGCUUCGCAUAAAUUACAUUUUUGGUUGGCGAAACAGAAUUUCGAGGAUACGAUUGACAUCAUAAUUUGGAGAAUUAGUAAUUCUUUUCCUACAGUGACUUGCCACUUUAAAUUUGAAUAAGGAUGAGCAAAAGGCUAUUGCAAUGGAUAACGGCAGUCCCUUGUUAAAUUGACUAAUUAGAUCUGUUUGGUUUACAUGAAUAUAAAUAUUUUAGAGUAAACCUCUAAUAAGUGAGCAAACUUAUUAAGAUAUAAUUACUUUCUAAAUUCUGUGUUUUAAAAGUCAUAAUUACAAUGUGGAUUACAAAGUAUUCUACAUGGAGCCUUCAGAAAGAUUUGGCUGCUUCUCUCUGUAAUUUCAUUGGUUUAAAGCUAAACAUGUUAAUGUGGAAGGAAGAGUUUAUAAUUGGAAUCCUUUCACUUUUGUUUUGACUUUUUUUGUGGGGGGGCCAGGUGUUACUGUAUAGUUCACUAUGUAGCUCAGGUUGGCCUUGAAUUUGUGGCAAUCCUCCUGCCUCAGCCUCCUGAGUGCUGGGAUUACAGGUAUGCACCACCACACCAGGUUUGGAGUCAUUUUGUUUUGAUAAAGCAAAGUCUUACUAAAAAUAAAUGUAGUAUCUAGGCAUGGUGGUGUAUGCCUGUAAUCCUCACACUUGGGAGGCUGAGGCAGGGUUAUUUCUGUGAGUUCAAGGCCAGCCUGGCCUACAAAAUGAGUUCAAGGCCACCCUGAAUUGCAUGGCUAGGCCCUGUCUCAAAAAGAUAAAUAAAUACAUACAUAUAGUAGUAGUGUGUAAGGUGAGAAAAUGUGGAAGGAAACCAUUCAAAGUAGAAGGAAUUUCUGAUUGGGUUUCAUAUUUCCACCCCCCAAAAAGAUAUACUUGUUACUUAUGAAGAUAAAAUAUGGUUAUAAAUGUGGAUAAUAUACAUAUACAAUAUCAAUAUAAACAGAAAUUGUACAAAAACAUGUAAGGAAGCAAUAGAAGUCAGUUUUAGGACAGCAGUUACCUCUAGAGAGAGAAGGGAGUGAUUGGGGUUGGAGUUGUAUCUGAUCUUUCACUGUUAGGAAGAGUGAGAGGUAAGGUGAAUUUCCCUUGUUAUUUACUAUAUAUUUGAAUAUUUCAUUAGUUAAUCAUUGUUAAGCAAGGAAAAAUGUAGCUUAAGUCUGAUUGCUUGCUUCUAACGGACUAAAUGUCCACGUUGAUUUGAGAGCAUAUUUAAGGAAGGUUUUGAGGGUAUGGAGGGAGUUACUUUUAGAUGCUCAACAUAUACUAAUAGUAACAAAAGCCACAGUUCAUUAGGCACAUAAUACAUGCCACGCAAGUUGUUGGAAACACGAUGCUGCUCUGACAAUAAGCAUGUAAGGAAGGUGCGUCCUUCAUUCCCACCGAGCAGAUGGCCAGGUGAGCUGCGACUCCUGCCCGCGCAUGGUGAUAAAAUAUGCUAAGCGAAACUCCAACUUUCAAAUGUCAAGUUUAAUAUCCCAAAGAUCAUUUCUUAUGCAAUAGCUUUCUUUUCCCCAAGAGUUAUCUCUACAUUUUAAUAUGUUUACUUGAGAAAAAUCAGAAAAUAUAGACAGGGAGAAAGAAGAUAAAAAUUGCCCAUACUUUCACUACCAGCCAGAGAUAAUGACUACCAGCAUUUUGAUGAGUGCCCUUUCAUAUGUUUCUCAUGCAUAAAUUUGUAUGAACUUUCAAAUGCUUUCAGAAGAAACUGUGUCAAGAAUUUCUCUAUUGCUAUUGCUUAUGACACAUAAUAUGGAAUAAAUUAAAAGCUUGGCUUUUAUUCCAUACUUGUCCGUAUAUAUAUAUAUUGUUUAAAGCACAGUUUAAGCUGGAGGUGGGAAGGCUUCGUUUUUUAAAGCCAUAUACAGGGGGAAAAUAGGUAAGCUACUUUUUCGAAAAAGUCAUGGAGUUUAUUGCAUCGAUGUUUUUAAGACAAAGCCCAAGACAAAGCAUAAUUACUACAUUAUAUUUACCAGUAAAUCAGAGAACCAAUAGUGAGCAUAUUGCCCUGUUGUGGGUGGUUUCUUUCAGAGAACAGGUGGCCCUUUAUUUUAAGAAAAAGGGAAAAUGGCAAUAUAAAAUAUGAAAGCAAAUAU
This is a long non-coding RNA of Cavia porcellus (domestic guinea pig), 3534 nucleotides long. RefSeq lists it as uncharacterized. The transcript is spliced from 3 exons. The record is from RefSeq and is a predicted model, not a curated record. Lineage: Eukaryota; Metazoa; Chordata; Mammalia; Rodentia; Caviidae.